Molecule: ribosomal RNA, 139 nt
Filed under: uncultured bacterium
Lineage: Bacteria
Description: partial 16S ribosomal RNA
Rfam family: Bacterial small subunit ribosomal RNA
Source: RNAcentral
UGGGGAAUAUUGCACAAUGGGGGGAAACCCUGAUGCAGCGACGCCGCGUGAGUGAAGAAGUAUUUCGGUAUGUAAAGCUCUAUCAGCAGGGAAGAAAAUGACGGUACCUGACCAAGAACGCCCCGGCUAACUACGUGCC